GUGGACAAGCGGCCUUUGCAUCCUUCGCCGCUGGUUGGAAAUGCAGUUUUGGACCCCCUCCUCCCCCGCCAGGGCUCCCACCCAACCGGAAUCUGCAUUUUAACCGGACACCCAGGCGAUUCCUGUGCACAUUAAGUGUGAGACGACCUGGAAAGAAAAUGAAGUGGUUGAAAACAAAGUUAGAGCUGAAGAGUUAAGUUUCUGGUGCCUGCGUUGGAGAGUUUUGCUGAUUGAUCCUGUCAUUUUUAAACAAUAUAUGCUACCAAAAAAGAAAGUCUUCUAAGCCCCAGGGUCCAGUGCUGGUGAGAGGCCACGUGGCAAAUGCAAAGUGCCUAGAGUGUAAAGUAGCAGAAGGCUGCCUUAAAACCCCAGCUUCCCCACGUACACUGUGAGCCUGGCCAAGUUCCCUGAGAUCUCUGAACCUCAGUUCCUCGUUCGUUACAUGACGGAAAUCGUGUUGACCUCAUAGGGUUUACUGUGAGAAUUGAAUGAGGUAAUUCCUUUAUAUGUAUAUGUAAGUAUUUUAUUUUAUAUUCAAGGGGUACAUGUGCAUUUUUGUUACAAGGGUAUAUUGCUUGAUGCUCAGGUUUGGGCUUCAGUUGAUCCCCAAACGGUGAAGACAGUACCCAAUAGGAAGUUUUUCAAUGCUUGUUUCCCUUCCUCUCUCCUCCCUUUUGGAGUCCCCAGUGUCUAUUGUUCCUGUGAACGAGAUAAAUUUUCUUUUUUUCUUUUUAAUACAGGCUCUUGCUCUGUCACUCAGGCUGGAGUACGGUAGCACUGUCGUAGCUCACUGCAGCCUUGAACUCCUGAACUAAAGCAACUCUCUCGUGCCAGCCUCCCAAAGUGCUAGGAUUACAGGUAUGAGCCACCACACCCAGCUAGUUUUAAUUUUUUUUUUUUUUUUUGUAGAGACGGGGUUUCACUACGUUGCCCAGGUUGGUCUGGAACUCCAGGACUCACUCAAUCUUCUAGCCUCGGCCUCCCAAGGUGCUGGGAUUACAGGCGUGAGCCACCGUGCCUACUCGAAUGAGGUAAUUCUUGACAAAAUAAAUGUGUGGCUAGUACAUCUUAACAUGCUUUUCUUGCUGUACUUGUCUCUGUAGCAAGUGCUGGCUGUGCAUUAGCUUUCUUGUCCCCUUCACCCCUUUGGUAGUGGAGCCUGGAGAGAAUUUACUUGGGAACUCAAGUGUGCCAGCAAAGGAGACACAAUUGAUGAGGGUACUAAGCACACUGUUUGGGUGAUGAUGUUUUUCAAAACAAUAUCAUUAGAUCUUCACAUACAGAGCUGGGAGAUAACAUAGUCCCUAUGACAGAUGUUAGACUAGGACCCCAAAUGACCUCGUAUGGUGUGCCAGUGUCUUCUUCAUUUGCUCCAAGGACACAGCAUGAAUAGAAUAGGCUUUGCCAUCAGCAAGGGCCCUCUCCUAGUUUUUCCCUAGCAUUUCAGAUGCUUGGCACCUGUAACCGGAUUUUCCCUGCACUGAGAGUCAGUGUGUCUUGAUGAAAUGAGCACUGGUUUGGAGUCAGAAGACCUGGGCUGGUAUCAUGCCCCUGCAGCUUAGUUGACAUGUGUUUGGAUGAGUCACUUCUCUGAACAUAUCUUUAUCAUCUAUAAAAUAGGCAUCCUAAUAAUAUUUCCUAAACACUUAUUCUGACAAGGUUUUAUGAGGACCAGAAGAAAUAAGGAAAGGCAAAGCUUUGUAAAUCGGAGAUGCCUCACCAGCACUAUCAUUCCUGUGACUUCCGAUCACCAAGGAGAAGGGACCAGCUUUUAGCACACAGAGCCUGGGAUGGUAGAAUGCCAGACAUUUCACAGUCCAUUGGGGGUGAUCUAUGGCAGAUGGUGUUCCUAGCACCUUUUUCAAAUUGG
Molecule: long non-coding RNA, 1870 nt
Filed under: Homo sapiens (human)
Lineage: Eukaryota; Metazoa; Chordata; Mammalia; Primates; Hominidae
Description: HSALNT0134324
Source: RNAcentral